UGGACUGUGCCUGCUCCAGUCUUCCUCUUGCAUCAUGGAAGCCAUUCUUCCCUUCACAGGCUUGACUUCAUUCUUACCCACAAGGGGGAAGGGUGAAGAUUGGCUCUGAGAUGUGACCCCAGCUUCUAGACUGUCUAUGUGAAGUGGUAUUAUCUGAUCUUUUCUCAGUUGCCAUUCUAUAGGCACAGUGAUGUGCAAGGCUCUAGCUAGGUGCUAGAUCCCAGGAUCAUUAAUGUCAUGGACAACCUGUGCCCAAGGAGCUAACACACUGACACAGUCCAGGACAUCCAGGAAUACAAAGGUGGUGAGAUGUCCCCAGCUAUGGUUCUGACCUUCAGAAAAGCAGUCAAAGGUCAUGAGGAUUUCUGACAGAAUCAACACAGGCUGAUGCCUGUAAACCAAAGUCCUUUCCUGUUUGGAGCUGCUGAGUGUAGUCUGAACUGUGAGUCUGGACCUGCUCUCUCAGUGAAGGCACAACUUCUUGAACUCUGACUCUGAACUGUAGUUGUGGCUAAUGCUGCUUAUGAUCCAAAAAUCUAAUUCAGCAGUGAAAAUAUAAGCUUCCAACCUCUAACCUGGAACAUUCUGUCUCAGAAAGGACAGUGUGUACACUUGAAUGGAAAGACCAGAUCCUGGUGCUUUCCCACAAGAAGUUGCUGAAUGUGGCUACCUGGAAGGACAACCAAAGAGGGCUGCCAGAGAGAAGGCCACUACCAAUUAGCCAAGCAACCUCAGCUACAUCAUCACAAGCAUCUGUAGUAUGGAGGUCUGGUAAACACGGUGUGGGCCUCUUCCUUCCCUGGAUGCCACCAUCAAGUGAGAUAUAGGUCGUUCACAUCACUGUGUGGACCUAGAAUUCCUCUGCAGGUCCUUUUACAGGAGUGGAGUCCCUCCCUCCAAGAGAGGUUAGCAACUGGUCAGACAUUCAGGCCAUUUUCCUCUGCUAGCCUGUGCUUCUUUGAGUAGGUCCAAUUCAGUGCUACUAGGUCAUGCCUGUUCCAGUAUCCUGAACUCAGUGAGGAGGUUGGACCAAGUGUCAAAGGAAUGAAGGUCAAGCUCUGGAUUUUAUCAGAGAGUCUGAGCAAGACCACUGAUGUUCUGGGAAAAACUUGACUUUUCAGUGGGAUCUUCAUCUGCUGUACAUAACCAACAACCUCUGCCGUGAUGAAAACCAGAGGAUGAUAAAAGGUGCUGCAGUUGGCAUGACUGCUGACAAGAGACACUGAGAGGUUCACUUCAAAUUCAAUAUUCAGAUCGUCUUCAUGGACUUUUCUUAGUCUCCCCUUAGAGACAGAACUGAAAUUCACCAUGGACCACAUCUUUUACAUGCAGCCCCUGUGCAGGGAGGAGAACAAAGACCUGGAGAUGUCAUGCUGUUCACCUGAACAAAGAUUUUUACCCAUUUAAGAGUCUGGAAAUAGGCUGGACCCACUGUUGACAGUGCAGAAGAGCAAGCAACCAACACCAGACCUUCUGGGUGCUAGGACCCUGUCACUAUUCAUGGGGUAUCUAGGAUGACUCUGUACAGGCGGUAUGGCAGAAGUUAAUUCUUUCCAAAAAACAGCCUGACUGACAUAGUGAAGAGAGCUCCCACAACCUCCCAGUCACAGUCUCCAUCAGCUCUUGCAUGUCUCCUUGGCUAUCAAUUCAGAGAGUUUGUGAUUCUCCUGACAGGAGAGCUCCAGCAAAAUCUCGGACUUCAGUCUCAUGAUACUGAACAGACUGUUCUAGCUGAUGAGGCCGGGCUUAGAAGAUGGACUACAGCCAAGAACCCUGGCCACCAUAACAACAAGUCACACCUUUAGGAAACACUUGAAAAGCACUUAUGCACAGUAGAAAAGUACAAGGAUUAAAGUCUCCUCAGGCAUUCCAGCAUAGAGAGAGUCUGACAGACUCAGGUCAGAGGUUACCUCCAAAUAAUAGAAGAGGAAGAAGGUCCUGCUUGACAGAAGAAGCCUGUGGCUGAGGCCAUUGCAACAAGGACUAUGAUUGUGAAACUUGUUUCUCCGUGGAUACCGGUUUCAGAAAUCUUGUGCCCAGGUACCCACAGUCCUCCUCACAUACCUCAUUUUAUAGAACUUUGCAAGUCCUGACAUUCUGUCAUGUCCUGAUGAUAUCCCACUAGACACAUCGGGUAACAAAGAUUUUUACCCAUUUAAGAGUCUGGAAAUAGGCUGGACCCACUGUUGACAUUAAAGGUGCAUUUCUC
RNAcentral lists this long non-coding RNA (2209 nucleotides) under Mus musculus (house mouse). RNAcentral's name for it is "predicted gene 6729". The record is from RNAcentral. Lineage: Eukaryota; Metazoa; Chordata; Mammalia; Rodentia; Muridae.